GUCGAGUGCGCAGUUUUCUGUAGCAAUACAGAAAGCGGGCGCUCGGCGCACGGGUGCGUAACACGUGGGCAAUCUGCCCUUUGAUGGGGAAUAACCCGCCGAAAGGCGGGCUAAUACCGCAUAACAUCCCAGUCGCUUCGGCGAUAGGGAUCAAAGCCCGCAAGGGCGUCAUUGGAGGGGCCCGCGGCCGAUUAGCUGGUUGGUAGGGUAACGGCCUACCAAGGCUUGGAUCGGUAGCCGGUCUGAGAGGACGAUCGGCCACACUGGAACUGAGACACAGUCCAGACUCCUACGGGAGGCAGCAGUGGGGAAUCUUGCGCAAUGGGCGAAAGCCUGACGCAGCGACGCCGCGUGGGGGAUGAAGCUUCUCGGAGUGUAAACCCCUUUCGACCCGGACGAAUCACCCGCAAGGGUAUUGACGGUACGGGGAGAAGAAGCCCCGGCUAACUACGUGCCAGCAGCCGCGGUAAGACGUAGGGGGCCAGCGUUGCUCGGAAUUACUGGGCGUAAAGGGUUCGUAGGCGGUGCGGUAAGUCGAGAGUGAAAUCUCCAGGCUCAACUUGGAGGCCCCUCCCGAAACUGCCCGCUCGAGUGCUGGAGAGGCGAGUGGAAUUGCAGGUGUAGCGGUGAAAUGCGUAGAUAUCUGCAGGAACACCAGUGGCGAAGGCGGCUCGCUGGACAGCACUGACGCUGAUGAACGAUAGCUAUGGGAGCAACAGGAUUAGAUACCCUGGUAGUCCUAGCCCUAACGAUCAGGUCUUGAGGGAGCCCGUUCGGGUUUGUCUCGUGCCACGCAUAGACUGCGCCUGGGAGUACGUCGCAGAUGAACUCAAGGAAUGACGGGGG
This 846-nucleotide ribosomal RNA is filed under the name uncultured Acidobacteriota bacterium. RNAcentral's name for it is "bacterial SSU rRNA". It matches the Rfam family "Bacterial small subunit ribosomal RNA", at positions 61 to 919 of the family's 1533-position model. The record is from RNAcentral. Lineage: Bacteria; Pseudomonadati; Acidobacteriota.